GAAGCCUGGCAGCCUUAUAAACUUAAUAGUCGGCGCUAAAAUUUAGAGAACCUGGCCCUUUAAAUAGCCGAGAUGAAGAGAUAUCACUCUGUAUUUGAGAGUAAACAUCACUUUUAUAAAGCCAGAAGUGCCCAAUUUUAGGUAAUACGUAAUGAUAAGCAGACAUGACUGCUAUAUAUAUAUAUAACUAUAAUGACACCAUAUUAACAACUAUAUAUACUAACUUUGGAUUAAAGAGGGAAAAAAUGGGGGGAAAAGUUAAAAGUCAUUACAGCAGUGGAGAAAUUGGGGCUUACUCUAAAGAUGCAUGCUGUGGACCAAAGUAUUAAUGUGCUGCACAGCAGAUCUACACAUCUAAGGUGCUCACAUAACCUGUAUAUAAAUGAUGGAUGUAGCCACAGUUGCAUCACCAGUAGGUUAAGGAAGUGCCAGUUUUGGUGCCAGUGCCAAGUGCUUGUAUUUUUUUUUUUUAAAUCAUGGUCUGUAAGUUUGUUGUUGUGAACGUACUUCAGGUUUAUCCUGUAGUUUAUUAUUUCCUGUUAGGAUUCCAAUGCUUAGUUAUAGUUUGUUUUUAGCAUGUGUCCUCUUUGUCUCCCUUAGUGUUGAGCUUCUGUGUGCAUGUACGUAUGGCCUCUCAUUACUUAGUCUUACUUACUUACUUGUCUCUAGCGUCUUGUGUUUAGUUUUACUUCCCUUAUCAUCUCAUUAUAUUGGAUUAUUAUCACUUGUAUCGUGUUACUCUGCUGUGUCCGCUUCUCCAAAUUACCUUCAUGUGUACAAACAGUCCUAUUUUCAAUGUUCAUCCUCCUGAUGUGUUUCUCAGCAUUACUCUUGCAUGUAUCUUCUUUUUUUCAUGAACAUUGAUUUUUGGACUGGCUUCUCAUCCACCAAUAAAGGUGUGCUUUUUGUUCACUCUGCCUGCAGAGUCUGCAUUUGGGUCCUAGUUACACACUUUGUGAGUGUUUUCACUGUUAUACGGGAACUCUGUGUGCUCAUUGGCUGAUAUCUUGUGAUGAAACAUUAGUCAAUGAGCAUACCCUGUUUUUUCUUACCCUGUUGUUGUUGUUUUUUGUCACAAACAACUACAAAUUACAAGUUAAUUUCAUGUUGUAGUUGGUGUAAGCUGCAGCUUGUGACUGAGUCAUUAGUAAAUAUGGAAACAGGUCUCUGUCACUGAGAAAAAAAUUUUGUCCAUCCAUAAGUCAAUAAGAGGGGGUUGGGCUAUCUCAAAAUGUAAUAAUUUUUUUAAAGAACUUGAAAUUUUC
This is a long non-coding RNA of Astatotilapia calliptera (eastern happy), 1265 nucleotides long. The record is from Ensembl. Lineage: Eukaryota; Metazoa; Chordata; Actinopteri; Cichliformes; Cichlidae.